GGUAAAAUGCCUGAAUUGAAAGGGUUAUCUUGAUAGGAUAAAUUAUGUAUAAAAAUGCUUUUACUA
RNAcentral lists this transfer RNA (66 nucleotides) under Haemaphysalis montgomeryi. RNAcentral describes it as "tRNA-Ile". Lineage: Eukaryota; Metazoa; Arthropoda; Arachnida; Ixodida; Ixodidae. The record is from RNAcentral.